Cavia porcellus (domestic guinea pig) is the source of this 294-nucleotide unclassified non-coding RNA. Its record names the gene 7SK. It matches the Rfam family "7SK RNA". From Rfam's summary of the family: 7SK was discovered as an abundant small nuclear RNA in the mid-70s but a possible function has only recently been suggested. NCBI's taxonomy places the organism in Eukaryota, Metazoa, Chordata, Mammalia, Rodentia, Caviidae. The record is from Ensembl.
GAAUGUAAGGGUGACCUGGCUGUGACAUCUGUAUCUCCAUUGAUCAUUGCAGUUGAUUCAGCUGAUCUUGCUAGAUAGACAGGUGUCCCCUGCACCCCUCCCCACGCCAUGUGCAUCCUGAAGAGGCUGACAACACCUGAUGGAGGCAAUAGAAGAGGAUCAUUCUGUCAGUUAAGGGUACACGAGUAGCUGUGCUCCCCUACUGGAACCUCCAAACAAGCUCUCAAGAAAGACAUGCAUAGAUAAAAAUGGUAGGAAUAAAAUAUUUUCUAGGACGAGAGCAGUAAAGAAUUU